RNAcentral lists this ribosomal RNA (483 nucleotides) under uncultured bacterium. RNAcentral's name for it is "bacterial SSU rRNA". It matches the Rfam family "Bacterial small subunit ribosomal RNA", at positions 19 to 518 of the family's 1533-position model. The record is from RNAcentral.
GUGGCUCAGGACGAACGCUGGCGGCGUGCCUAACACAUGCAAGUCGAGCGAGGAGAUUCCUUCGGGAUGAUCCUAGCGGCGGACGGGUGAGUAACACGUGGGCAACCUGCCUCAUAGAGAGGAAUAGCCUUCCGAAAGGGAGAUUAAUACCUCAUAACAUUGCAGUUUCGCAUGGAACAGCAAUUAAAGGAGUAAUCCGCUAUGAGAUGGGCCCGCGGCGCAUUAGCUAGUUGGUGAGGUAACGGCUCACCAAGGCGACGAUGCGUAGCCGACCUGAGAGGGUGAUCGGCCACAUUGGGACUGAGACACGGCCCAGACUCCUACGGGAGGCAGCAGUGGGGAAUAUUGCACAAUGGGGGAAACCCUGAUGCAAGCAACGCCGCGUGAGUGAUGACGGCCUUCGGGUUGUAAAGCUCUGUCUUCAGGGACGAUAAUGACGGUACCUGAGGAGGAAGCCACGGCUAACUACGUGCCAGCAGCCGC